AUGGUUUUCCUAGGAAGGGGAAGGAUCCGUGUCGAUGCUGACAGUGUUCAGAGGGUAUUUGAUCUCCCAAACAGGGGUCAAAAAGUCAGAUAUUUAGUUGACAAGGAUGCCACUUGGAGAUUCAGACAGGCCUUCAACAUACCUGGAAAUUCUCAUCCCCAGAUCGCUACAUGGCUCAAGAUGAUUGAGGAUAUGGAUGGAAGAACGAAUGACACAUUCAUUAUGGCCUGGCUUGCGGUUUCCUUUAGCACUUUUCUAGCACCAACCACGGCCUUGAAGCUCAGCCCAAAGUGCUACGGACUUGUGCUAGAUCAUGAAAUGAUCAAGAACACAAACAUCUGCCUCUUCGUAGCAGAACACAUUAAUGAAACUUUCUGGAACAUGGACCAGGAGAAGCAAAUUGUCUGCUGCUGCUUGUAUCACUUGAUGGUGAUCAAGAAGGAUACCAUCUCUCCUGGUGUGUUCGGCAAAUUACAACUUAAAGAGGAGUAUAGAGGCACGGAGCAGACACCACUGUUUGAUGGAAUUUUGGAAGCUGAAGCAUUCAUGGCAUCCAAGUUACCAAUAACCUACAAUCCACAGGUUGGCACCUUCAUUGAAGCAGUUACCAAGAUCGAUGACGAGGAACCGGAUAUUGAUCCUUACGUACAGCAACCAUCAAUGCAAACCGGGGCGUCACGCCAUGCUCCAAGCAGAAAGAGACGGGGGUCAACUAUACAAGAAGAAGAAGAGUUUGUUGAUGAUGAGUCAGAAGAAGAUGAGGAAAUGGAAGCGGCGAUAGAUGUUGACGAUGAUGGGGACACAGACGCGGAUGAAUCAGAGGAGGACAAGGAUGAGGAUGACAGUGAAGAAGAUGCAAAGGAGGAGGAGGAGGAAGAGGAGGAGGAGGAGGACAAACAAGAAGAGGACAAAGGAGAGGAGGAGGAGGAGGAGGAAGAAGAUAGUGAGGCAGAGGAGGAGAAAGAAGAAGGUGAGGCCGAAGAGGGGGACAGGGACAAAGGUGCAACAGUUGAUGGCAGUGAGAGGGGAGAAGACAAAGGCGCAGCUGUUGAUGGCAGUGAGAGGGAAGAAGACGCCAAUGAAGAAGACGAGGAUGGUUAUGGUGAUGAUGUUGGGGGAUCCAAUGGAGGCAGCGACAGCAGCGAUGAUGAUGAUGAUGAUGACAAUGCCCCUAGUUCUGGUGGUACAGGCGGCAACACAUCCAGGAGGACUAGCACUUCUGCCACCCCAGCCAGCAGCAACAAUUCAUUGAGUAGCAGGAGCACACUACAGAUGUUAAUCGACAAAACUUGCUGGAAAGACAAGGAUUUGCCGAAGUCAAAGAAAAAUGACGAAGCAGAGUCUCAUGGCAGCAUUGAUAUGUUCAAACUCUGCAACUUGAAGCCAGCUUUGGCAACCACCUUUCCUGUGCCAGAUUUUAGCGACCAAGAUAUGUGUGAGAAGGUAAACUUUGCCACUGAUAAGAGCCUGUUCUUAUCAAGUGUUGCUGAAAAGAAUCAAGUUGACAUGGAGGAAGCAGGAAAGGGAGAUGCCCUGGUCCUUGAACCCAUACGAAGAUCAAAGUCUUAUCAUGGUGACGGGGUCUGCGAUGCACCAUCUUUUGACCUCGGCAUAGAUGGUCAUGCUUCAGCACCUGCUCCAGCAGCAGAAACAGCGGAAGCCAGUGUGAUUCGUAUUGAUGAGUGUGAGUUGGACCCAGCAGCUGUGAAUGAAGGAUGCGCUGCUGCUGAUGCUGGCAAGGCAAUAGCUCAAGAGCUAGAUGUUGGAUCACCAGAGAAUUGCCACACCCCGACAUGCGCAGAACCAGAUGCUGGCACGAGAAGUUCUUCAGGACCACCUAUUGCACGAAGACAGAGGAGGGUAAUAAGGCCCGCAGCAUCUCAAAGGUCUCCAUUCAUUGACUACAACAACAAGAAGACUUUCAGCUCCAAUGAGGCAGUGGACAAGCUUUACGCUGCCCUCUUGUAUUGGGUCAGGCAUCACGAAGGAGCAAAUGAUGAAGCUACUAGCCCUGAGAUAAUCAGGUAUGGUGCUUUCUACAUUUCUUUAAAGGAGUUAGUUGAUUCGAUGAAGCCGGUUCAAUGGCUCUCAAAAAUUGUUAUUGACACUGGAAUCUUACACAUCAUGGAUAACUUACCAGAAGGGUCAAAGAAGGUUGUUAUGCCACUGAGGUUUUCUAUGAAUUUACAGCAAGGGAUCCACAACGUGAAUGAGAUAAACAAGAAGUUUGAUUACAAGAACCGUGUCGACAAGAAAGAGUUGGUCAUACUGCCAGUGCUCGAGUGCGAUGAUGUAACCGAUAUGGAAGGAGGGAGGCAUUAUUGGGUCUUCAAUGUCAACUUGAGGGACGGACGCUUCGAAGUUCUUGACUCAAACAGGACGCUGGACAACAUUGAGCUGAUGACCACCGCCUCUACCAUUGCGGGGGCAGUACGCCGACUAUGGAGGAAGCAUUACCCAAAGUUCAGCAUCGAGCACUUCUAG
This 2484-nucleotide ribosomal RNA is filed under the name Triticum aestivum (bread wheat). Its description in RNAcentral is "partial small subunit ribosomal RNA". The record is from RNAcentral. Lineage: Eukaryota; Viridiplantae; Streptophyta; Magnoliopsida; Poales; Poaceae.